UACGGGGGGAGCAAGUGUUGUUCGGAUUUACUGGGCGUAAAGGGCGCGUAGGCGGUCGUGACAAGUCACUUGUGAAAUCUCCGGGCUUAACUCGGAACGGUCAAGUGAUACUGUCGGACUAGAGUACAGAAGGGGCAACUGGAAUUCUCGGUGUAGCGGUGAAAUGCGUAGAUAUCGAGAGGAACACCUGCGGCGAAGGCGGGUUGCUGGGCUGAUACUGACGCUGAGGCGCGAAAGCCAGGGGAGCGAACGGG
This 254-nucleotide ribosomal RNA is filed under the name uncultured bacterium. RNAcentral describes it as "partial 16S ribosomal RNA". It matches the Rfam family "Bacterial small subunit ribosomal RNA", at positions 524 to 776 of the family's 1533-position model. The record is from RNAcentral.